UACGUAGGGGGCUAGCGUUAUCCGGAAUUAUUGGGCGUAAAGAGCGCGCAGGUGGUUGAUUAAGUCUGAUGUGAAAGCCCACGGCUUAACCGUGGAGGGUCAUUGGAAACUGGUCGACUUGAGUGCAGAAGAGGGAAGUGGAAUUCCAUGUGUAGCGGUGAAAUGCGUAGAGAUAUGGAGGAACACCAGUGGCGAAGGCGGCUUCCUGGUCUGUAACUGACACUGAGGCGCGAAAGCGUGGGGAGCAAACAGGAUUAGAUACCCU
This 265-nucleotide ribosomal RNA is filed under the name uncultured prokaryote. RNAcentral describes it as "partial 16S ribosomal RNA". It matches the Rfam family "Bacterial small subunit ribosomal RNA", at positions 524 to 788 of the family's 1533-position model. The record is from RNAcentral.